This 86-nucleotide transfer RNA is filed under the name uncultured bacterium. RNAcentral describes it as "tRNA-Leu". It matches the Rfam family "tRNA". From Rfam's summary of the family: Transfer RNA (tRNA) molecules are approximately 80 nucleotides in length. The record is from RNAcentral.
GCGGGGUUGGCGGAACUGGUAGACGCGGUGGACUCAGAAUCCACUGGUUAACAGCCAUGAGGGUUCGAGUCCCUUGCCCCGCACCA